RNAcentral lists this ribosomal RNA (415 nucleotides) under uncultured archaeon. RNAcentral describes it as "bacterial SSU rRNA". It matches the Rfam family "Bacterial small subunit ribosomal RNA", at positions 509 to 928 of the family's 1533-position model. The record is from RNAcentral.
CAGCCGCCGCGGUAAUACGGAGGGUGCAAGCGUUAUCCGGAUUCACUGGGUUUAAAGGGUGCGUAGGCGGGCAGGUAAGUCAGUGGUGAAAUCCUGGAGCUCAACUCCAGAACUGCCAUUGAUACUAUCUGUCUUGAAUAUUGUGGAGGUAAGCGGAAUAUGUCAUGUAGCGGUGAAAUGCUUAGAUAUGACAUAGAACACCCAUUGCGAAGGCAGCUUACUACGCAUAUAUUGACGCUGAGGCACGAAAGCGUGGGGAUCAAACAGGAUUAGAUACCCUGGUAGUCCACGCCCUAAACGAUGGAUACUCGACAUACGCGAUACACUGUGUGUGUCUGAGCGAAAGCAUUAAGUAUCCCACCUGGGAAGUACGUUCGCAAGAAUGAAACUCAAAGGAAUUGGCGGGGGAGCACAA